AUUCUUUUCACUUUCUUCUUCGUGUCCAGCUUAUAAAAUUGCUGCACUACCGCUCGAUCAACAGUUUAAUGGCGGAUAGGUGUUGACCGAAGGAGGAGGGACGGAGGGGUCAACCCUGCCUCCUCUUUUCCGGGCUGAGAGACCCCUUCCCCACGUUGAAGAACGAUACAAACGCAGGCCAAUAAUUUAGCGUGUCAGUCGCUGCCACCUCCUCUCUCUCUCUCUCCAUCAAUCAAUCAAGUCAUAGCAAACGAGGAAGAAGGAGAAAAUUAACCCUGGGAAACAGCACCGGUGAGGUGGAGUUGCAGAGCACAAGAACACAUUCCUUUCUCCAAGUGAGGCCUCAUCCCCUCACUCCCUUUACAGGGAGAAAUAUACACAGCAAGGGUAAAAGAAACCUCUGAUCUAUGAUCUCUCUCUCUCAAAAUGUACAAGUUUCCUCUCAGAUCCUUCCUCGCUGCUUGUGGGUGGGAUUGACAGAAAGAAGGACACAAACAGGGGAACCUCAUGGGUAGUCUCGCCAGCAGAUGAGCAU
Molecule: long non-coding RNA, 535 nt
Organism: Musa acuminata AAA Group (dessert banana)
Lineage: Eukaryota; Viridiplantae; Streptophyta; Magnoliopsida; Zingiberales; Musaceae
Exons: 2
Source: RefSeq, a predicted model, not a curated record